AGAGUUUGAUCCUGGCUCAGGAUGAACGCUAGCGACAGGCCUAACACAUGCAAGUCGAGGGGCAUCGGGGCUAGGAGCAAUCCUUGCCGCCGGCGACCGGCGCGCGGGUGAGUAACGCGUAUGCGACCUGCCCGUUGCAGGGGGAUAAUCGGGAGAAAUCCCGUCUAAUACCGCGUAAUGCCGCGGGGCUGCAUGGCCCUGCGGCCAAAGGGAGCGAUUCCGGCAACGGAUGGGCAUGCGUGACAUUAGCUAGUUGGCGGGGCAACGGCCCACCAAGGCGACGAUGUCUAGGGGUUCUGAGAGGAAGGUCCCCCACACUGGUACUGAGACACGGACCAGACUCCUACGGGAGGCAGCAGUGAGGAAUAUUGGUCAAUGGGCGCGAGCCUGAACCAGCCAAGUCGCGUGAGGGAUGACGGCCCUACGGGUUGUAAACCUCUUUUGUCGGGGAGCAAAUUCCGUUACGUGUAACGGAGUCGAGAGUACCCGAAGAAAAAGCAUCGGCUAACUCCGUGCCAGCAGCCGCGGUAAUACGGAGGAUGCGAGCGUUAUCCGGAUUUAUUGGGUUUAAAGGGUGCGUAGGCGGACUGUCAAGUCAGCGGUAAAAUACGGGGGCUCAACCUCCGCCCGCCGUUGAAACUGACGGUCUUGAGUGGGCGAGAAGUAUGCGGAAUGCGUGGUGUAGCGGUGAAAUGCAUAGAUAUCACGCAGAACUCCGAUUGCGAAGGCAGCAUACCGGCGCCCAACUGACGCUGAAGCACGAAAGCGUGGGUAUCGAACAGGAUUAGAUACCCUGGUAGUCCACGCAGUAAACGAUGAAUACUAGCUGUCCGGGGCGAAUGAGCCCUGGGUGGCACAGCGAAAGCGUUAAGUAUUCCACCUGGGGAGUACGCCGGCAACGGUGAAACUCAAAGGAAUUGACGGGGGCCCGCACAAGCGGAGGAACAUGUGGUUUAAUUCGAUGAUACGCGAGGAACCUUACCCGGGCUCAAACGACACAGGAACGUACCUGAAAGGGUUCGGCUCUACGGAGCCUGUGUCGAGGUGCUGCAUGGUUGUCGUCAGCUCGUGCCGUGAGGUGUCGGCUUAAGUGCCAUAACGAGCGCAACCCCCAUCGACAGUUGCUAACAGGUCAGGCUGAGGACUCUGUCGAGACUGCCGGCGCAAGCUGCGAGGAAGGCGGGGAUGACGUCAAAUCAGCACGGCCCUUACGUCCGGGGCGACACACGUGUUACAAUGGCAGGUACAGCGGGAAGCCACCUGGCGACAGGGAGCGGAACCCGAAAGCCUGUCUCAGUUCGGAUUGGAGUCUGCAACCCGACUCCAUGAAGCUGGAUUCGCUAGUAAUCGCGCAUCAGCCACGGCGCGGUGAAUACGUUCCCGGGCCUUGCACUCACCGCCCGUCAAG
Molecule: ribosomal RNA, 1408 nt
Filed under: uncultured bacterium
Lineage: Bacteria
Description: bacterial SSU rRNA
Rfam family: Bacterial small subunit ribosomal RNA
Source: RNAcentral